CUCAUUUUGCUCAGCCGUUCGUUGCAUUUCCUUCCCAAAUCCUCUUUAUCCACAAACCCUAAUCUAACAUACACAAACAAAUAGAUUAGAACCUCAUCCCCUUCACACAACACAGUCGCACCACACCCUGUGCUUCCCCUCUCGUCUCUCACGUCUGGCGCUCCGGCGUCGUGUAACCCGACGGCAAACACCCUUUCUUUCUCGAAAUAUUGCAACCCUCACACCCCCUUUUUUUUUGUAUGACAGGCCGACCACCGUGAUGGUGGCGGCGCACUGCUGUAGCAGCGAAGACAGAGAGACAGAAACGAAGAGAGGGGGGGAGGAUCGACCGACGGUGGCACCACCGGAGCCACAGCAGCGGCGUGGUGGUUACCGCCUGUUUUUCCGGCGACGUGCGACGGUGAGGGCUCCAUCAGUCACAAUCACACCGGAGGUAAUGGUGGUGGUCGAUGGACCGAGCUGACGUCGGACAUGGCUGCAGCACGAGGGGGGGUGUUGAUGGAAACGGUGGUGUCUGGGUAUUGGUGACCGUAAUGGUGGUGGUGUUAAUUCGAGUCUCGGGUUAGAUGCGGGCUCCAGUUCAGAUUCAUGUUCGAGUUUUUGCGAGUCAAGUCUCGUGGUUCACUUUUAGUUCAAGCGGGUCAGAUGGUUCGGUUACGGGUGCGGGUUGGUUUCGGGACAUGGUUCGGGGUUUUGUUUGAUUUGGUUUUUGGUUCGGCUUGUGCGGUUCACACGGUUCAGCAGGUUCACCUUUCGGGUCAACGACUCGGGUCAACAGGCAGUCAACAGUCAACUGCCGGGUCAACAGAAAGUUAACACGCGACCCGGUAAAGUUUAACGACGCGAAAUUAACGUAGAUUUUUGACUUUAUAAUAGUUAAACGCGACCGAGCUCGACCCGUUUCGUUUCGUUUUGGUGUUAGUUUACAUUCAUUAUUACUUGACGAAAAUUUAUAAUUGGAUUAUAUUAGUGAA
Molecule: long non-coding RNA, 974 nt
Organism: Helianthus annuus (common sunflower)
Lineage: Eukaryota; Viridiplantae; Streptophyta; Magnoliopsida; Asterales; Asteraceae
Exons: 2
Source: RefSeq, a predicted model, not a curated record